Molecule: non-coding RNA, 46 nt
Organism: Ciona savignyi (Pacific transparent sea squirt)
Lineage: Eukaryota; Metazoa; Chordata; Ascidiacea; Phlebobranchia; Cionidae
Source: Rfam
UAAACGGCUCUUUUUAGAGCUACUUCAUUUUUUAUAAAGAGUAACC